Molecule: ribosomal RNA, 506 nt
Filed under: uncultured Glomeromycotina
Lineage: Eukaryota; Fungi; Glomeromycota
Description: partial small subunit ribosomal RNA
Rfam family: Eukaryotic small subunit ribosomal RNA
Source: RNAcentral
CCAAUAGCGUAUAUUAAAGUUGUUGCAGUUAAAAAGCUCGUAGUUGAAUUUCGGGAUUGACGUGAUGGUCGUGCCUUAAGGGGUAUGAACUGUUGUUGUUGAUUUCUCACCUUCUGGAGAAACUUGAUGUCCUUAAUUGGGUGUCUUGCGGAUCCAGGACCUUUACCUUGAAAAAAUUAGAGUGUUUAAAGCAGGCAUUUUGCUCGAAUACAUUAGCAUGGAAUAAUAGAAUAGGACGGCAUGGUUCUAUUUUGUUGGUUUCUAGGAUCACCGUAAUGAUUAAUAGGGAUAGUUGGGGGCAUUAGUAUUCAAUUGUCAGAGGUGAAAUUCUUGGAUUUAUUGAAGACUAACUACUACGAAAGCAUUUGCCAAGGAUGUUUUCAUUAAUCAAGAACGAAAGUUAGGGGAUCGAAGACGAUCAGAUACCGUCGUAGUCUUAACCAUAAACUAUGCCGACUAGGAAUCAGACGAUGUUAAUUUUUUAAUGACUCGUUUGGCACCUUACG